GUCUGGGAAGGGGUUGGGGGAUGUUGCCGAGUGUCCAGGGUGCAGGCUGGAGUGUCCUCACCUGGUCAGGGGCCGGCAACAGAGAGGCAGGGUGGAUUUGGGACACUUAUGAGGACCUGAGGACCCGUGUGUGUGUGUGUGUGUGUGUGUGUGUGUGUGUGUGUGUGUGUGUGUGUGUGUGUGCGCGCCCUGGCGGCGGGGGUGAGGAGGAGAGGGUCCAUGCUGCAGGUUUCUGGCCCAGCCAGUGGUGUGGGCACCUCCACAGAGAAAGAGCAGUACGGAAAGUAUGGAACAGUAUGGAAUGCCAACUGCAUCUUUCAAGGUGGGCAGAAUCUACAGGGUUGUGGUAGGGGAGGAAACAGCCUGUGCAAAGGCAUGGAGGCCACUGAGGGACCCAUGGUAGUGGAGUGUGGCCGGGGCAUGAAACACGAGGUUGGACACAAGGUACUGGAGAUUUGGGCCUUUUUUGUGUGUGUGGCAUUGGGAAAACAAUGGUGAUUAUUCCAGCGAUGAAGGAGAAAGCCCUGGGAGGAGGCAGAAAGAAAACUCUAGACGAGAGGCCAGUCAGGGGAGGGGGUGAGGGACUCGGUCAUUGCCCAGGCAGUGAGCCCCAUGGCUGUGAGGACACAGAAGCCCACUCUCUUCUCGCUGCUGUUGCAGGAAGGCUGAUGGCAAGAAAGGAACCCGGCCUCCUACUCAGAUGAGGCCAGGGGGUGGCCUCCCCGGGGACUACCUGGGACUCCUGUUUUACCUGCAGUCUCCUGGCCCCACCUCUAGUGAGCCAGUGACCCAGCCGCAGGCAGCUCCUCUGUCUGGAGACAGGACAGUGGUCCAAGCAACUGCCUAGCAAGGGGCUGUGUCACAGAAACAGAGGUGAUUUGAACUCUCCCAGCCUCAGUUUCCAGCCUCACCUUUAAGGUGGGGGUAACGACUUUUUUCUACCCAAGCCUCCUCCUCCCUGGAGAGUUCCCUGUCUUUGAGUUCAGAGCUCCUCCAGGCUCUGCAACAGGCCAUCCUGUCCUCCCCCCAGCCCAGCGGAUUCUGCUUCCUUCUUCUUUCCACUCUGUCGUAUCCUCUCCUCUCCUCUCCUCUCCAUGUCCACCUCCUACUUAAACACCGCUUGCCUGCAGCCAGCCUGGGCGCCUCCGGCCUGGGUGAAGGAAGCAGUCUUCUCACGGGUCUCCCUGUCUCCUGCGCAUGCACCCACCCCUCACUGUCUCUGCCCACAUCCAGGAUGAUCUUGUCAAUUGCAAGACAAUCAUGUCACUUCUCUGCUUGCAAACCCUCCCAAGACCAAGUCCCCACUCCUCCACUGCAUCCAAGCCUUCCCAUCUGGCCUUGGCCUUCAUCUCCCAUAGAUCGGGGCUUGUCCUUGAUGAUCUCCCCGGCCCCCAUCCAUGAAGUUGCUAUUCUUGCCACACUUCUUGCAGGCCCCUGAGACCAUCUCCUCGGCAUCCUGCAGCUCUGGGCUUUGCACCUGCGUCUACUGUUCUGAAAUGUCCGUCACCCACAUCCUGGGCCUGACUCACUCCCACUCAUCUUUACCUCAGGCAUCACCUCUGGGCCUUCAUCCUUUAUGCCUCAAUUCGUCUCCCUAUAACAGGGGUAUGAUCCCUUGUAACUGGAGAUGGUCUUAGGGUCUUAAUUGACUACAAGCAACUAAGUUAACUGAGACCAAAGAAGAAGUCUAAAAUGCUAACGAUGCCUUGGCUGCAUUAAUAGAGAUACAGAGUCCAAACAAGAGAGGUGAAUUAUUUGGCUCUUGUCAGACCUCCAUGACUUGUCCAACUGUUCUGUGGGCCUUGUGAUCAUUUCCUGUGCCUUGCUUUAGGAAGGAUAUUGACAAAGUGGAUCAUAUCAUUGAUACUUUCACCUCAGUUCACUGAAUUUGCUUGCCAUUCGUCAAACAUGUAUAUGCCAGGCACUACAGGUGUAUAGUCACAUUUAAUGCCAUAAAGCAUUAUGAUCUCCUUUGUACAGAUGAAGAGGAAGUCACAAUAAGUCAGGGAGAAGAACCUUUCCCAGCUGUGGCCAGAGAGAGAUGUGACACCAGGGAAAGGAUCAGAGAGUGGCUGAAGACAGAGGGAGGGGCCAAGAGUCAAGGAACAUAAGUGACUUCGGGAAGAUGGAAAAUGCAGGAAACAGAAUCUCCCCUAAAGGCCCCAGAAAAACAGCAUAGUCCUGCCUACUCCUUGAUUUUAACCCAGUGAGACCCAUGUCAGACUUCUGCCUAUGGAACUGUAAGAUGAUAAUAAAUGUGUGUUGUUUUAAGCCA
This 2275-nucleotide long non-coding RNA is filed under the name Homo sapiens (human). RNAcentral's name for it is "HSALNT0354719". The record is from RNAcentral. Lineage: Eukaryota; Metazoa; Chordata; Mammalia; Primates; Hominidae.